This 479-nucleotide ribosomal RNA is filed under the name uncultured bacterium. RNAcentral describes it as "bacterial SSU rRNA". It matches the Rfam family "Bacterial small subunit ribosomal RNA", at positions 29 to 501 of the family's 1533-position model. The record is from RNAcentral.
AACGAACGCUGGCGGCGCGCCUAAUACAUGCAAGUCGAGCGAGAAGACGUAGCAAUACGUUUGUAAAGCGGCGAACGGGUGAGGAAUACAUGGGUAACCUACCCUCGAGUGGGGAAUAACUAGCCGAAAGGUUAGCUAAUACCGCGUACGCUCCUUGGACUUCGGUUCAGGGAGGAAAGCGAUACCGUGGGUAUCGCGCUCUUGGAUGGGGCUCAUGUCCUAUCAGCUUGUUGGUGAGGAACGGCUCACCAAGGCUUCGACGGGUAGCUGGUCUGAGAGGACGAUCAGCCACACUGGCACUGCGACACGGGCCAGACUCCGUACGGGAGCAGCAGUAAGGAAUAUUGCGCAAUGGGCGAAAGCCUGACGCAGCGACGCCGCGUGGGGGAUGAAGGUCUUCGGAUUGUAAACCCCUUUCGGGAGGGAAGAUGGAACGAGCAAUCGUUCGGACGGUACCUCCAGAAGCAGCCACGGCUAAC